Cebus imitator (Panamanian white-faced capuchin) is the source of this 940-nucleotide long non-coding RNA. RefSeq lists it as uncharacterized. The transcript has 2 exons. The record is from RefSeq and is a predicted model, not a curated record. Lineage: Eukaryota; Metazoa; Chordata; Mammalia; Primates; Cebidae.
CCUCUGCGGGAAAAGGAUUUUCAACAUGGAUAGUUGUUUGCCCACAUACAGUAGUACUAAGUUUGAAGGUAAAAUAGCUACCCUCAGACCAAACACUAGAAGGAUAGACCCUAACACAAACUUGCAGGGGGAAAAAUAAUGUUAACAUUUAAAAUGAGUCUUUAAAGUAGAUGACAUGGAAUAAGGUCUUCCAAAUAAUUUCCCCUUUUUUGCCCCAUUUAAAUUUCAUAUGGCAAAGAAAUAAGCUAUUUGGAGUAAGGAUGCCUCAGGAUUUUGGGCACAAAUAGACUGGGUUCAAAUGAACCUCCGUUUCACUUUUAUAUACCUUCCCUUAAGGUCUCACAACAUCAUCUCAGGAGUACUCUUCCACACCAAAACUGAAGGAAAUUCCACCCACUUAACUGUAUCUCAAUCCAUUUUUUACGGAGUUUAGGGAGAACUAUCAAGAGUGGUGCAAAACUGCAGGUCACUGUGCAGGCCACCAGAUACUCCCAUCCAACAGAAGCUGGCUGUACUCACCCGGAACCAUGGUGCACCACCACAGCGGCGAGGUCGUACAGGCAGCUCUCUGGGCCACUGUUCUCGGGCUACAGAACAAGGAAGAAGGCAUCCACAGGAUGGAGUUAGGAACAGUGAUCAAUGACAUCAACAUCUCCUAUCUCGAUGACUUCUGCCCUCUCCAUGUGAUGACAGUCUUUUCGCCAUGCUAAAACGGUAAUCACCUUACCUCUAAUAAAGAUUACCCCUUUCUCCUAAACGUGUCAGGAGGAUGCUGUGAGCAAUCACUGAGGGAGAGCACGCUGCAAACACAGAAAGCCUAGAAGGUCUUGAACCAUCCAUUCCGAACACCACUGAAGCACAGUGUACAGCAACACAUGGCAACUGUCUUUUCACAAGGUUUUGGCACAAUAAAUACAAACAAAUUUCCAUAAAUCUUAAA